UUCUGAUCCGGAACAUCCUGCAAUGCGUAACGGGCCAGCUCGUGGAACUCAACAUUGUACUUGUACAUAGAAUUGCUGCCCUGCUUCAAGCGCCUGAACUUCUCACGCAUCUCCUCAACAAAACUGGAAGGAAUGUAGUGGGACCUGAAGUCACGACAGAACUCGUCCCAAGACAUCACCCUGCCACCUCUGGAGUCCUUAAGCUGCUGCCACCAAAUAGAAG
RNAcentral lists this long non-coding RNA (223 nucleotides) under Hordeum vulgare. RNAcentral's name for it is "long non-coding RNA (HVUL_LNC009963)". Lineage: Eukaryota; Viridiplantae; Streptophyta; Magnoliopsida; Poales; Poaceae. The record is from RNAcentral.